GUCAUGAGAUCCUUAGCUGAAAUAACUAACACUAUCAUUUCAUUAUGAUUGUUUUAUAUUUGAAGUAAAUAGCAUACUAUGCCACCACACUAUGCUUACUUUCAUUUUGACACCGUUAAAAAACUAUGAGUACCACCCCACAACAAAGAGGGCAACAUUGGUAAAGUUCCAUUGGAGUAGAGAAUGCUCAGAAACACUUGCUGUGCUUGCAGUGGAUCCCCACACUCUGGCGGGGUGCAUGAGAUUUGGCAACUGUCUUUCCAACUUCCUGUUUAAGGGGCAGUCUCUGGUACGUGAUGUACAGGAAUGCAACUCAAACAUAGACGCCAAGACGGGAUCAGGAAAUUCCUGUAUGCAACGGGAGCCUUUCCAAGGGUGACGCUGCAAACUUUGCUAUUGCAUCAAAGGAAUGGUCCAAUCCAGCCCCCCCUGUGCACCUAACCAAGGCAGAAAGAAACUUUAAUUUGUAUUGACGCUUAAUCAUGUCUAUGGAAAGUGUCCGACCUGUCACAAAUAAAAAGCUCUUCACG
This is a long non-coding RNA of Dunckerocampus dactyliophorus (ringed pipefish), 530 nucleotides long. RefSeq lists it as uncharacterized. NCBI's taxonomy places the organism in Eukaryota, Metazoa, Chordata, Actinopteri, Syngnathiformes, Syngnathidae. The transcript has 3 exons. The record is from RefSeq and is a predicted model, not a curated record.